This 220-nucleotide ribosomal RNA is filed under the name uncultured bacterium. Its description in RNAcentral is "partial 16S ribosomal RNA". It matches the Rfam family "Bacterial small subunit ribosomal RNA", at positions 524 to 741 of the family's 1533-position model. The record is from RNAcentral.
UACGUAGGGUGCAGGCGUUAAUCGGAAUUACUGGGCGUAAAGCGUGCGCAGGCGGUUUGCUAAGACAGGUGUGAAGUCCCCGGGCUUAACCUGGGAACUGCGCUUGUAACUGGCAAGCUAGAGUGUGGCAGAGGGGGGUGGAAUUCCGACGUGUAGCAGUGAAAUGCGUAGAGAUGUGGAGGAACACCGAUGGCGAAGGCAGCCCCCUGGGCGUAACACC